GUUCUGUUGUUUAAGGGCCAGUUUGGCAUUCAAGACACUUGAGCUUGGUGCUUUGUCCCAGCUGUAGAAAUCUUCCAUGCUUUCAGGUUUCCAGUCUUACCCAAAGUGGAAAAAACUCCCAACUGGGAAGCUGAUGUGAACAGCCAUAUAGGCAACAUGAUUGUAAAAGAGAAAAGACCAAUUCAUAGCAGGUCUUGCACAGACUGAGUAAUUGCAAGAAAGAUCACCAUCCACUCUCCUGCCAGACUGUCACUGCACCUUUUUAGACACAAAUCCACUGGCAGCACCCAAGUAUUCAGAGGAGUAUUCCCAAAGCCUCUCCUGAAAACUGAAUCUAACCACAAAACCCAGGAAGAAUAUAAAAAAGGGAAGAAUAUAGAUGAAGAGAGAGAAAUGCGCAGAAGAAGAAUCUAACAAAAAAGUCUGAACACGAAAAUAUUUUGGUGGAGAAGGAUGAAUUAUGAAGAGUGAUACCAUUUUGGAAAUAUGAAGAUUUUGGUAUCAAUCUGAAUUUUUCAGAUAAAAGAAUAGUCAAGACUACGAAGUACUUGGAGAUUCAAAGGUGAUCUCAGGAUAAUGAGCAAUGAAUCUGUGUGCAUGCUGAAUAGAUUAAUUUGUUCAAUAUGUUAGAAACACUACUGUCGUGGUGAUGUAAAAAUGAUGGAAUCAGACCCUGAGACACAGCUCAUCAGGAUUUCUGAUUUCCAUAACGGAGCCUGUUAAAAAUGAAAUCGAGAUGCUUCCACCAUCAAUCUGAGAACACUAUAACAUCACUACUCUACUAAGGCAAGAGGCUUGGUUUCUAUCAGCUUAGAGAGAAGCUGAUGAGACGUUGGCAGGAGCUGCUCCAUUCACCCUGGCAAUAAGAACUAACAUUCUCCACUGCUGUACAGCAUGUUAUCAAGUUGCUAAGGGAUCAGACUUUCUUCCUGAGAGUGUUCAAGCCAGGGAAGAUGUGUGGUGCUUCUGAGGAGAGCUCAUGGGACAGAAGUUCACAGCCCACUAAGGGAGGCAUUUGAACUGGCCCCCAGCUCCUUUUUAGGAGCUCCCAGUCCCUCUGUGUCUGGAGUAAAGAUGGGCUCAUGCUUUUGGGAGAUGUGUUGUAAGCACGGGGAUUCAUCAAGUGAGUUGAGGACAGUCAUCAAUGCACUCAAGCACAUCAGAGGAGAGCUCCCUCCCAUUCAGCUUUACUACAUGACAAAUGGAUAAGGUUUAGAUGAAAUAGCAGGACUGAUCCUACAUCAAAAUAAGGAAUGAACUCUCUUGCUUAAAACUGCUCGGAUGAGUGCAACCAUUGAAUGAUGUUACAAAUGCCUUUGGAUCCAGGCAGAGUGAUAAUGGCUUUGAGCACAGAAAUGGACUUGCAGCUGGAUUCUCAGGAGAUCUGGGUAACAGCUCACAUAUUGAAAUGUGCUCAUCAAAGAGGUAUUAUGGGGACAGUAAAGGGAACCAAGAUUUGCCUGCAAUGUGGAGACGAGAAACAGAAACAGGUAGAAAGAAUCUAAUUUCUCAUGGAAGUUCUGGUGAAAAUCAAACUCCGUCAUUUUCAGCACUAAUGUUAGGCCAGGAUCUGCAACCGUUGCUGAAAGUACCCAUUAUCUUGUUGCCAGUGCAAUUCCAUUUAUUACAGUAUGUGUCAAGGAAACAUGGAAAUUUAUUCUUCCCAGGGUAAGCUGCUGCUUAACAUAAGUGUCAGAAAUGUCUAGCCUUUAUUGAUUAAAAUUCUGAGUUCUUUAUAUGAUAUAACUAUCCUAAGCAGAAAUAGCUAAUGUGCUGAAAGGCAGUAUAUUGUAUUUGCAAAAAGAACAGCAUGGAAAGAUUUAUGCUCCAGUGAUGUCUUGUUUUCUUUACUGUUGCUACAGAGUUGAAAGCCCAUCUGUCCUCCUUAUUAUGUUAAAUUCAUUCAGGAAUCACUUAACUGAAGUAUCCUUAACCUAGUGCUUCUGCAAACUAGUACAUCUACAUAGAGAAUAGUUAUUAAAAUAAACAUUUCAUUAUCAGCAUCCUAAUGCAGUACCAUUGUGAGUAAUCAAUGAGGUCUCUGGAAAUUAUGGGAAUUAUACAAUAUAAUUGAGUUAUUUAUAAUAAAAUUGCUAAAGAGUUGCUGACCUUCCCAGGUAAACCUUUUUCUUUUUUUUUUCAUACAGCCUGCUUGAUCUUGCUCUGAUUUUGAACACAACAUGUUUUUUUCUUUGUCCUUACAUAACUUUAGAAUAGAAAUCUAUUAAACUAAGCUCAGGUUUAUAAAAGAAGAAAAUUAUCAUGGAGUCACAUUACAGAAUCAUGUUGCCUUCCUUAUGCUUUAAAACCAUCACUCCAGGUAAGAAUUUUAUGCUAUUCUGCAAAAUGAAAUAGAAGCUAAAAGAUACAAUAUGAAAAUUUUUUCCGUAUUUCUUCCACCUCAUACUGUCAGCCCAUAGUUUGCCCCUUUUACCUUAGUCUCUUAGUCAGCCACGCAGUGAAGUGGGUUGGAAUACCCUGCACACCCAUUACAGAGAACAUGUAAGAAUCGAGCUAAUGUUGAAGCCUCAGUUCUGAGAAAACAAAUAAGGGGACAAGAAGCUGCCAGCAGGUACAAUAAAGGCAUAGAAAUGCCUUUGCUCUACAGAGCGUGCACCACUCCCCAUUUACCCCUGCCUCCCCACUGAGGGUUGCACACAUAGAAAAGUCUUGAUAGAAAGCUCUGGUGGCUAAUCCUCAUCUGCUUCAGUGCCAAGACUUCCAGCUUAGCUUAAACUGAUGAUGAAGAUGAUGUAAGAUAACCUUGCAGAAUUAACACAAAAAAUGAAUGAAAGAGUACCCGUGUUCUGCAUUUUCAGAAAUGAGGGCAGGUACCUCUAGCAGGUGAGUGCUGAUCAUCAUCUGGAGCUCGUAAAGUUAUUAACCACAUCAAAAUGAGGUGUUUGCCCACUCCCUAAUUGGAAAGGGAAGGGAUAUGCAUGCAGCUGUGAUUUUUGCUCUCAAGACUGUCUGACAACAUAGCACAUGGAUGUACUGGAUAUCUUUGCAUUUAUUACGAAUAUUUUCCUCUCUCCAUAAGAUGCUCCAGCAGACCUGGACAAUGACUUCUAAUGAAAAUCUGCAUCAGGACAAGUCUGUUGUGAGACCAUCAAUAUCAGUGGGUUUGGAUGAGUGUCAAAGGGAUUGGAGUAGAUGCUGCAGUUUUAAUUAAGUACUUUUUUCCGAGGCAAUAGGCUGGUCUCCUUUGUGGUGGAUAUAGGAUUAGUGACGCUUUGAGAGGUUAGCAGCCAGGCAAGUCACAGCAUGAAAAUGAAUGGAAUUCUAUCAGAGAGCCUAUUUCAUGUCAAGAAAAAACUCCAGAGAGUAGCAAUUAAAGCUUACUUAUUUAUUAGGCAAUUGAGUUUGUGGGUGAACUGGCUAAACUGUAGCUGGGGGGCUUUUCUGUUGACUGACAACACUGAACCAAGAAGCCUACCUCAGAAGUUGGGUAGGAAAAGGUUGUUCUGCACAGGCUCAGUAGUCCUUCCAAAGAAAAGACUUAGGGACACCAUGUGUCUGUUGGGAUGAGGGUGGGAGAGGUAAAACACAAACAUGACUGGUAUAAAAUAAGUUAGACCUAGAUCCCCUAGGCUUGGAGGGUCUUCACCUUGACCUUUGAGACAGACAAGGACAAAUCACAUGAAGACCUGCAAGAGGUGUUGCUUUGCAUCUUUUGCCAUGCACAGGAGUGAUGAUGGAGGAGGGGACUUGCCAGCUCUUGUUACUCAUUUGAGAAGCUGUACUGCUGCGUUUCAUUUUGCUUCACUACACAAAAAAGGCAGAAGGAGGGAGGCAGGAGAGAAGCAUCCACAUCAAAAAUAGCAGAAGGAAAUAUGGGAGGAGGGAGGAGAGGUGGGAUGGUAUUGUCUGGUUUAUGGCCCUUCUGUGCCAUCUGAAUGGUACAAAAGGAUAAAAACCAGGUUGAGCAUCUGUGUUACUGUCUGCACCACUAUGAUAAUGAAAAUCCACAAAUGCUUAGAGGAAUAAACAACAUUUCAAGUUUCCUGAGGUUAUUUAAAAGAAAUAUUUAUUCUAUCUGAGAAGGAGUAUGCAGGGAAGUAUUGCAUUUAAAAAAACCCUGCAAAAUGUGUUCACAAUGUGAGGGAGCAGAGCAGCACAGUGAGUAACCUUAACUAGUCUGUUUCCAAACUUUUGACUGCCUAACCAUGCAGCCUUAAUGCUCUGUUACCAUAUUCGUCAUGCACACAGUAUUAUACUGAUACAUAUAAUACUGACUGUCUGGUUAGAUAUAGAUAUCUUAUUUUUAUUGGAAUUUUAUCCUCAGUCUCCUCUCUACUUCUCUUUUCACAGUCCUCCUUAAGCAGAAUGUGAAACUAGUACUCUAAAAUUUCAGCUGCACUUUUGAACCUGUGAUAUUUGAACGCGAUUUUUUCUCAUCACAACCUGAAACUGAUAUGUUGUUACAAGAAAAUGUUGCACUUCUCAAAACUCUCCACUUCUAUAAGAUGCAGUACAUAUCCUUUCAAAGAUGUGGGGUGCAUGUGAAAAAAGGUAUCAGGAUUACUUGGCUCAUUGGAAAUUAUCACUGCAGUUCUUUUCUCUACCGCCUUUUUUCUUUACACAAAUGCCAAAAUUUUCCUCUUAAAAAUGUUUAAAAUUCAUAUUCUGUCAUGUAGAUCCGGGAGUUUAUUUUGAAACGUGAGCUUGCCUGUGAAAACUAUAAUAUGCAUUUUGGUAUUAAUACUACAUAAAAAAUACAUUAACAUGAAGUAAAUCCAAGCUUAGGUGCAUAAUUAAAUCUAAGACAGCAAUUAUUAAAGCACUUGAAUGAUACCCAAGACCAAAUUCUGCCUGGCAAUGAAAGCCAAUGACACUGGGCUCCUGCAACUCUUAGAUUAUCAAAGGAUCUUGGCAUCUGAGUGGUCUCACAGAUCUAGGUACCUAAAACCAUCUGAGGAUGGACAAUAUCUCUCUGUUUUUUUGCAAAGGCAUCUGAUCUGGGAAGCAAGGAGGAGGGACAGAGGACAGAGCACGGUCCUGUAGCCAGGGAUGCUGUGAAGAGAGGCAGCAGAGAGGAAGGCUGCUCCUGGUGACUGUACUGUGGUUUGAAGGGGAACACACUAAAAAAAGGGACGAAGGAAAACAACACCUUCCAUAAGAGCAUCCAAGCAAGCCAGACCACCAGGACAGGGCAGGACAAGUGGUGGGAGAAGAAUAAAGCAAGGAAAUCCUGAAGGAAUGGGGACUGGAGGACUUCUGAAGGGAGCAAGAGGCUACCUGCAGUGGAGGACAGAUCUACACCAAGCCUAAGAAAUGACAGUGGCCUUCUUAAGGACUCCAAAGAGAAGUCAGGGGAGAGGACACUUUCUCUCAACCACAGGAAUACUGAAAGUUGCUAAAUUUGAAAGAAAGCCUAGAGAAAAGGACCCAUCCUUCUCAAGAGGGACAUCGGUUUUACAGAUUUUCACGUUUUAUUUCUCACUUUAUAAGGUCUGAAUUUUCCCUGCUUAGAUGGUUAUCUUGUUUUACUGUGUGUGAAAUUUAGGAAACAUUCCCCACCUGCUAAUAAAUCUUAAUUUUAAAGGGUAGAAAACCAUUAACUUUCAGUAGACAGGAAGGAUUUACUUUCUGUUACAUUGCCUUUCUGGUGCAAGGCUGGUGAGUAGGUCCUACAGCACAUGUUGUAGCUGUCAGUACUGAGAAACCCUACAAAAGUCAAGGACAGCUAAGGAGUAAUGUUGAAACACUGUAGGAGAGCUGUACUGGAACAGAGAGGUAGCUCUUCCUUCUUCCCUCUCUCAUAGCAGCACCAAAAUCUGGGAGCAUGUAUCUUGAGCAUUUGUGAUCCCUUUCAGCUAAGUAACACUAACUAGCCUCUCAGAUCUUCCAAAGGCAAAAUCUAACUGGCCUUGCACAUGAACAUGCAGUAGAAAAGUGCUGAUGAGGAGGUAAGGAAUUGGCUGCUAGAAGUCAAAGAAUGACUGCCCUGAAAGCUGCCUGUGACUUACUUGAGGGUCUACGGUCAAAAGAUUCAUGUUGAUGUGCAUCCAUAUUAUGGCCUACGUGAUGGCUUUUUAUAUGCUCCAGACUAAAGAAUAAACCUGUCCAUUGCCCAACACUGCCUGUGCAGCAGCCUGUGCUCCAAACCAGCCACAGUCAGGAUAUUGAACAUGCUUUUUUCCACAGUGCAGUAGGGUAUAUGUGGGAUACGUGCAGCAUAUUAGAUUGGUUUCCAGCCACCUACCAGUAUUUCAUGGCAGGAAAUUUGCAUGGCUCUUGUUGUAGCCAAGUGACAGGUAAUAAGAGAAAGGUGCCAUUGUUAGAACUAUCAGUAUUAGAUUUUCUAAUACAACCCUGUUGUAAUGAGAUCAUUCACAUUGCUCUAACUGCAAUCAGAACUUCUACUGAAAGAAUGAGCCUGAAUAAUAAUAAAAGCAGAAAGCAUUUUAAGUAAAUAGAAUUUCCCAGAUACUGCAUAAUGUUGUUUGUUAUUGCUAUCUUUUAUGAGUCUUGAGAAAUAUAUUGUAUAAGAAUGAUUUCCUUCAAUAUAAGCUGUUAUCAUGGAGGUCUCCUAUGUCAAUUCUUAUUUAAAAUAUAUUUCCUUACAGUCUUGAUAUUAUGAAAGCAUAAAUUAAUGUGACCUCUUUGCUUCCAUUCCAUGUUCUUAUAAAGCCCCACCGUAGCUCUCCGAAGAACAGUUACGUGCUGCUUUGUACGAAUGUAGCCUAAACCACUCCAAAUAAUACGAUCCAUUUUGGCAGUAAAAAUUCAUUUUAUGUACAGCUUUUGAAGCCCCUGAAAAGCCAAGGUCUUUCAGUGAACAUUGCACAGAACAUUUUUUUCUUAGCUUGAGAGUGAAGAAGCAUGUAGAUGAUCUCCCUCUCUGCUCUCCUAAUGGAAAACCUCCAUGAGCCUAAACAAGUGCUGCUUCUUUUGAAGAGCUUGUGGGAGCACAAACAGGGAGCCUGACAGCACUAGCAUCUAGUGCAACAAAAACGCCCUGGCAAAUGUAGAAGGGAGGGCAGACUAUUUCCAUGAGCUAUAGUAGAACAUGAUUUCCCUCCUGCCUAAAGCUUGCCAUUGGCAAAAAGAGAAAGCCAAAACAAACUCCUACAGUGAA
Strigops habroptila (Kakapo) is the source of this 7081-nucleotide long non-coding RNA. RefSeq lists it as uncharacterized. Lineage: Eukaryota; Metazoa; Chordata; Aves; Psittaciformes; Psittacidae. The record is from RefSeq and is a predicted model, not a curated record. The transcript is spliced from 12 exons.